RNAcentral lists this transfer RNA (73 nucleotides) under Ovis aries (sheep). It matches the Rfam family "tRNA". Rfam says of the family: Transfer RNA (tRNA) molecules are approximately 80 nucleotides in length. Their secondary structure includes four short double-helical elements and three loops (D, anti-codon, and T loops). Further hydrogen bonds mediate the characteristic L-shaped molecular structure. tRNAs have two regions of fundamental functional importance: the anti-codon, which is responsible for specific mRNA codon recognition, and the 3' end, to which the tRNAs corresponding amino acid is attached (by aminoacyl-tRNA synthetases). tRNAs cope with the degeneracy of the genetic code in two manners: having more than one tRNA (with a specific anti-codon) for a particular amino acid; and 'wobble' base-pairing, i.e. permitting non-standard base-pairing at the 3rd anti-codon position. Lineage: Eukaryota; Metazoa; Chordata; Mammalia; Artiodactyla; Bovidae. The record is from Rfam by way of RNAcentral.
UCUCUGGUAGUCCAGUGGUUAAGAUUCUGAGCUCCCAAUUCAGGGAACUCGGGUUUGAUCCCUGGUUGGGGAA